GGAUGUGAGGGCGAUCUGGCUGCAACAUCUGUCACCCCAUGUAUCACCAGGGUCGAUUCGGCUGAUCUGGCUAGCUAGGCAGGUGUCCCCUUCCUCCCUCACUGCUCCAUGUGCAUCCUUCCCAAAGCUGCACCCUCGGUCGAAGAGGAUGACCUUCCCUGGUAAAGGAGGACCAUUCUUUGGUCAAGGGUAUAUAAGCAGUUGCGUUCCCCUGUUAGAACCUCCAAACAGCCUCUCAAGGUUCAUUUGUAGUAAAUCAUAGGGUAGUCAAGCUUCUAAUACUCAAGAUACAUCCAAAUGAUGUGCUGCAUGUGGAAGCCUGCCUUUAU
Panthera pardus (leopard) is the source of this 329-nucleotide unclassified non-coding RNA. Its record names the gene 7SK. It matches the Rfam family "7SK RNA". From Rfam's summary of the family: 7SK was discovered as an abundant small nuclear RNA in the mid-70s but a possible function has only recently been suggested. Two independent studies have found that 7SK RNA binds the CDK9/cyclin T complex (known as elongation factor P-TEFb). NCBI's taxonomy places the organism in Eukaryota, Metazoa, Chordata, Mammalia, Carnivora, Felidae. The record is from Ensembl.